GAUGAACGCUAGCGGCAGGCCUAAUACAUGCAAGUCGAACGAUACUUUGCAGCUCGCUGGAGAGGAAAGUGGCGCAAGGGUGCGCAACGCGUAUGCAACCUACCUUAAUCAGGGGGAUAGCCCGAAGAAAUUCGGAUUAACAUAGCCUAAAAUCACAGUAUAGCAUAAUAUAAUGUUAAAAUAUUAAUAGGAUUAAGUUGGGUAUGCGUGACAUAAGGUAGUUGGCGGGGUAACGGCCCACCAAGAACACGAUGUUUAAGGGAUCUGAGAGGGGGACCCCCCACACUUGUACUGAUACGCGGACCAGGCUCCUACGGGACGCAGCAGUAAGGAAUAUUUGUCAAUGGAGGCAACUCUGAACCAGCCAUGCCGCGUGCAGAAUUACAGCCCUCUAGGUCGUAAACUUCUUUUAUCCGGGAAUAAACCAAUCUACUUUUGUAUAGCUGAAUGUACUGAAGGAAUAAGGACCGGCUAACUCCGUGCCAGCAGCCGCCGUAA
This 498-nucleotide ribosomal RNA is filed under the name uncultured bacterium. RNAcentral's name for it is "partial 16S ribosomal RNA". It matches the Rfam family "Bacterial small subunit ribosomal RNA", at positions 28 to 523 of the family's 1533-position model. The record is from RNAcentral.